GAAUCAGCGUUGCUUAACAAAUCUGAUCGUUUGGGAUUAUUUUGUUCUUACUAAUAGCGUUGCUAUAUGGUUGGCUUAAAAACGACGUCGUCUGCAAUACUGUGGGUUCCUACGCUAUUGUUGAAAGGAAGUUGGCCGGAAUCCAGGAAAGAUCCGGCGGCGCUUCUUAUUGAGUGGGGUUGUUUUACAACGGUAAAGAUCUUGAUAUCAAUCAGUCAUUUGCUUAAAUGUAACACAUUUUGCUUUUAAUUUCAAUAUAAAAAUAGGAUUUCUAUCAAUUAAUUUUGAGAUCGCUAUAUUUCUGCUUGAAUCUGUUUCACAUUGCCAAAAAAAAAUUUGACCUUUUUUGUAUGAACAAUCCGUAUAUAUUCCUCCGCCUUUGACCUCUCAUUUCUCCUGCAGAAGCUUGUCAGAAUCUAACGAAGAAGAGCUAAGAUCAACCCGUUCCGAAUGAAGCAACGUUCGAAACCAUCGAGCAGAGGCUUUAGGAACCCUUGUUAGGUUGUUCUUAUAGUCCACAUAGUAUAUCCCGAACCGGACAGUGUAACCAGAGUUCCACUCCCAGUUGUCUAGCAAUGACCACACGAAGUACCCUCUCACAUCACAACCAUCCUUCCUGCAAUACCCCAACCCAAUCAGUUUAUAACUUCAUUUUCUCAGGUUUGUAAAGUCUUAUUAUUACCUAAUGGCAGCUGAUAAGUUGGAGAGGUAGUCUCUGUGGAAGCUAAUCCUCUUGUCAUCUUGU
This 745-nucleotide long non-coding RNA is filed under the name Brassica napus (rape). RNAcentral describes it as "long non-coding RNA (BNAP_LNC024553)". The record is from RNAcentral. Lineage: Eukaryota; Viridiplantae; Streptophyta; Magnoliopsida; Brassicales; Brassicaceae.